Molecule: ribosomal RNA, 468 nt
Filed under: uncultured bacterium
Lineage: Bacteria
Description: partial 16S ribosomal RNA
Rfam family: Bacterial small subunit ribosomal RNA
Source: RNAcentral
GACGAACGCUGGCGGCGUGCUUAACACAUGCAAGUCGAACGGAAAGGCCCUGCUUUUGUGGGGUGCUCGAGUGGCGAACGGGUGAGUAACACGUGAGUAACCUGCCCUUGACUUUGGGAUAACUUCAGGAAACUUGGGCUAAUACCGGAUAGGAGCUCCUGCUGCAUGGUGGGGGUUGGAAAGUUUCGGCGGUUGGGGAUGGACUCGCGGCUUAUCAGCUUGUUGGUGGGGUAGUGGCUUACCAAGGCUUUGACGGGUAGCCGGCCUGAGAGGGUGACCGGCCACAUUGGGAAUGAGAUACGGCCCAGACUCCGACGGGAGGAAGCAGUGGGGAAUAUUGCACAAUGGGCGGAAGCAUGAUGCAGCAACGCAGCGUGCGGGAUGACGGCCUUCGGGUUGUAAACCGCUUUCGCCUGUGACGAAGCGUGAGUGACGGUAAUGGGUAAAGAAGCACCGGAUAACUACGUG